This 447-nucleotide ribosomal RNA is filed under the name uncultured bacterium. RNAcentral describes it as "partial 16S ribosomal RNA". It matches the Rfam family "Bacterial small subunit ribosomal RNA", at positions 29 to 523 of the family's 1533-position model. The record is from RNAcentral.
AGUGAACGCUGGCGGCAGGCCUAACACAUGCAAGUCGAACGCCCCGCAAGGGGAGUGGCGCACGGGUGAGGAACGCGUGGGAAUAUGCCCUUCGGUUCGGAAUAACACAGGGAAACUUGUGCUAAUACCGGAUACGAUCUACGGAUGAAAGAUUCAUCGCCGAAGGAGUAGCCCGCGUAGGAUUAGCUAGUUGGUGAGGUAAUGGCUCACCAAGGCGACGAUCCUUAGCUGGUCUGAGAGGAUGAUCAGCCACACUGGGACUGAGACACGGCCCAGACUCCUACGGGAGGCAGCAGUGGGGAAUAUUGGACAAUGGGCGAAAGCCUGAUCCAGCCAUGCCGCGUGAGUGAUGAAGGCCUUAGGGUUGUAAAGCUCUUUCGCCAGGGAAGAUAAUGACGGUACCUGGAAAAGAAGCCUCGGCUAACUCCGUGCCAGCCGCCGCGGUAA